CAAUAGUACUUGAAAAUAAAAACAUACAGUAUUUCAGUAUUUGCACAUGAUGAGCUUGCUGCCUGAUGACUGCAUGCACACGGUCUAGCUCAGCCAGUAAACCCCAUAAAAGUCCAUAAUUUCUGGCUGAGCUACAGCAUAUUUUUUACAGAGACAUUUCUAUCUUGACUUUCAAAGACAGGGAAAUCCAUCAGGUCCUCAGGUUCAUUUCCACACUGCUUAACUCCCCACACUAUCAAAUCUGCUCCUCGUUGCUGCUUUAAAACUGCUCAAAGUUCCUGAUCCCAGCAGCCAAGCCUUGUUUUCCUUUUGUAUCCCAAAUCAAAGCACUCUCUGCUAUCAGUAGCCAUCCUUCUGCCCAGGUGUUUUAUAUGCUGUAAUCAGCACACUCCUCAGCUGAAAUCUGGGGGAGGAAGUUAGCCAGGUCUAAUUGGUCCUAAAUGUCUGCAGAUGUGUUCUAAGUGUUGUCCCGAGCUGCUUGUUACAGACUGUCCUGAAGGACGUGGAGGAAAACUGGUUGUCUGAGUAGCAGACAACAAUACAUGGAUACGAGGCAUGUCAGUCAUCAGGAGAAGUUUGUGACUAGGUUUUUUCUACCACCCUCUGAUAGACCUGACAGACAAAGGAUGAAAGACUUGUUUUCUUUCUGCACUUCCCCCAUGCCGUAACUGGAGGCACCUCACAGGCUUGCCCUGGUCACCCUGUGUGUCACUCACCUGCUUCACAGCUCUUCGUGGUCACAGCACACAUGGGCCCAGGGAGAGGAGUCUCUUUUCAUCUGUACUUUGAGGCCUCUAAUAGGCACUCAGGCAAUGUGAAAGGAGCUUUAAUAAUUAAUCAUGGCAAUUCAGACACACAGAUGCCAGGGAUUUAUUCUGGCUUCAGAUAUUUGGUCAUCUGUAGGAUGAAGCUGAUUCCCCUGCCGUCUGCACUGAGUUCUGGCCCAGGACACCACUGUUGUGUCCGAAUGGUGUUUACCGGCUUGGAGCCUUUUAGUUCAGCAGUAGACGUCUUCCUGUAUGCUUUGAAAUAUCCUGAUCACACUGUAUGUUUUGUAAUUCUGUCUACAUUAACAAAUCACAGUUCAGUUAUUAAAACUCAUUACAGUGAACUAAAAUUAAUGUUCUCAUAUUCUGUUUUAUUAUACUUUUUGGUCGCAGUAUCUUCCCCUGCAUGGACAGAAUUCAGUAUCUUAGCAGCUUCAAGUAAUUGCCACUAUUUUUGG
Long non-coding RNA from Numida meleagris (helmeted guineafowl), 1225 nucleotides. RefSeq lists it as uncharacterized. The record is from RefSeq and is a predicted model, not a curated record. The transcript is spliced from 4 exons. Lineage: Eukaryota; Metazoa; Chordata; Aves; Galliformes; Numididae.